UCCUCUUCAUAAUCAUGGUUCAAUAUUUUGGAAGAAUUUCAAGUAAUCGAUCGAUGGAAGCUGAAUACACUGUAGAUGUGUAGCAUACAUUCUGGUUCUAAUGUUAAUUAUAGAAUUAAAUGUCAUGCCAUCAGAUGCCAUGACACUAUACUGCAAAGAUAAUGACACCAUAGUCCUUGCUAAGGAGCCUAGGUCUCACCA
RNAcentral lists this long non-coding RNA (201 nucleotides) under Elaeis guineensis (African oil palm). RNAcentral describes it as "long non-coding RNA (EGUI_LNC070018)". Lineage: Eukaryota; Viridiplantae; Streptophyta; Magnoliopsida; Arecales; Arecaceae. The record is from RNAcentral.